GGCAUGCACUGGCUGUUCCAAGAGCUCACGCAUAUGUGAGGUGUGACUUGUCUUUGGCUUUGGUUGCAGGUCUUUCAGGUUGCAGGCUAUGAAGAAGAGGCACGUAUAGCAUUUGCGGUGCUGGAUGCAGUUGAAGGCAAAACUGAUGAUGCCUUCCAAGCAUUUGAAGCUAUCAAGAAUGUGGUUUCAUACUGGAAUCUUGCCGAGCUUUGCCAAAGGAAGGCAGAGGAGAUGGUGAGUGGUGAUGUUUUGGCAGAAGAACAAGGAGAACACAAGGCCUACCUUCU
This is a non-coding RNA of Meleagris gallopavo (turkey), 287 nucleotides long. The record is from RefSeq and is a predicted model, not a curated record. NCBI's taxonomy places the organism in Eukaryota, Metazoa, Chordata, Aves, Galliformes, Phasianidae.